GCAUGCUCGGGCAAGGCAGUAAACAAGUGAGUUUCACCGGGCCUGCGCAAGGCCGUACCCGCUUCCCGCAGACUGGAACUUUCCUGCCUCAGGAACACAACUAAAACCAGUGCUUAGAAGAAGCUUCAGAAUAACAACUUUGGCUCAGAAUGCAGUGAAUAUUCUAAGCAGAGAAACACAGCACAAAGAAGAGAGAGCAUCGGGGAAGAUUCCCAGUCACAAAACAAGGUGUUCAUGGGCUUUCCCACCAAGAAAGUCAGGCUUCCUGUUUCUUGGAAGGGGCAAAUUUGUUUGGGCCUUUAAAAAAAAAAAAAAGGCUGGAAUCUUGCUAGCAACUCUGAGGUGGGGUCUUUCUCCUUGCUUCUGGAUGGCUACAAUUUGCCUUCUACGUGAUGAAGCUGAUGUCCGUCCCACUCUCUCCGAAGGAGCUGGUGAAGCCUGACAGCAGGCUGGAAGAGACCAUCUAUGCUACUUGCUCUCCCACCUACACCUGUGCUCCAAGCUUAAAGAAAUAGCUUUGCUUUUGAUCUAAAUCGUACUGCCUGUCCUUUGAAACCAACAACCUAGACUCAUUUAGCAUCUGCUAGGGGACAUUACUCAGUGCUGCACCAUUAAGAACUCAAUCAGCUCUAAUGAGCUGAGCACAGGCUCGGCCCUCUGUCUCCUCCAGGCAAGUUUGUGCUCAGCUGUGGGAUUUUGGAUCAUCAGUCCUGGAUGAUGACCAUGUGCCGUGAGACAACCCGGUGCAUGUACCUCUUCUUCCACACCUCAUACAGAGGUCCAGAGAAGCAAAGGGGAUGGAUGACUCUGGGAGGGUGGAGAAAAGACAGUAGAUGAGAUUUUUGUGUUCUCCAUGCCCCACAACUACUGGGAGGACCGGACUCGGAUCUGCUGAGCAUGACUUCUGCGGGUAUUCAUCAAGCUACUGUGGCAAUUAACUCCAUCUUCAUCAACAAGAAGGUGCAGCAUCCCAUGCUCCAUUGAAAACCCAGAUGCACUGAGGAGUCAGGGAAGCGCUCAAAAUCACAGACGAAACAGAACCAAGAUGGGAACAUGAACCUAUCUCUUGGAAAGCCUGCUCCAAGUGGGAAGAGGCAGGCUGUUUCCUUCCACCCCCUUUAUGGCUUACAAAAUCUCCUUUGGGGGUUUCAUAUGGAGCCUGGAGGUGAAGGACUCCUCUGCUCACAGGGACUCAGCAUGAAACAUUUCCAGAAGGGUGUCCUGGGGCAGUGGCCGCCCCCAGAUGAGUAAAGAGUGACGUUCAGAAGGCUGAGGAGAGAGAACUGGCAUCAGUGGCUUCACUCCCAGGUGACUCCUGCAGUCCACAGAACACAAUUCAUGCCUUUCACACCUCCAGAAAACUGUAUAGCUCCCUUCUUUAAAAAUUACAGUCACCAGGUGUGGUGGCGCAUGCAUUUAAUCCUAGUACUUGGGAGACACAU
Molecule: long non-coding RNA, 1442 nt
Filed under: Mus spicilegus (steppe mouse)
Lineage: Eukaryota; Metazoa; Chordata; Mammalia; Rodentia; Muridae
Description: lncRNA (ENSMSIG00000009793.1)
Source: RNAcentral